AUGAACGCUGGCGGCGUGCCUAAUCCAUGCAAGUCGAGCGAACAGACGAGGAGCUUGCUCCUCUGACGUUAGCGGCGGACGGGUGAGUAACACGUGGAUAACCUACCUAUAAGACUGGGAUAACUUCGGGAAACCGGAGCUAAUACCGGAUAAUAUAUUGAACCGCAUGGUUCAAUAGUGAAAGACGGUUUUGCUGUCACUUAUAGAUGGAUCCGCGCCGCAUUAGCUAGUUCGUAAGGUAACGGCUUACCAAGGCAACGAUGCGUAGCCGACCUGAGAGGGUGAUCGGCCACACUGGAACUGAGACACGGUCCAGACUCCUACGGGAGGCAGCAGUAGGGAAUCUUCCGCAAUGGGCGAAAGCCUGACGGAGCAACGCCGCGUGAGUGAUGAAGGUCUUCGGAUCGUAAAACUCUGUUAUUAGGGAAGAACAAAUGUGUAAGUAACUAUGCACGUCUUGACGGUACCUAAUCAGAAAGCCACGGCUAACUACGUG
RNAcentral lists this ribosomal RNA (496 nucleotides) under uncultured bacterium. RNAcentral's name for it is "partial 16S ribosomal RNA". It matches the Rfam family "Bacterial small subunit ribosomal RNA", at positions 29 to 507 of the family's 1533-position model. The record is from RNAcentral.